RNAcentral lists this ribosomal RNA (171 nucleotides) under uncultured bacterium. RNAcentral's name for it is "partial 16S ribosomal RNA". It matches the Rfam family "Bacterial small subunit ribosomal RNA", at positions 340 to 523 of the family's 1533-position model. The record is from RNAcentral.
UACGGGAGGCAGCAGUGGGGAAUAUUGCACAAUGGGCGCAAGCCUGAUACAGCGACGCCGCGUGGGGGAUGACGGCCUUCGGGUUGUAAACCUCUUUCGACAGGGACGAAGCUUUGGUGACGGUACCUGUAUAAGAAGCACCGGCUAACUACGUGCCAGCAGCCGCGGUAA